This 439-nucleotide ribosomal RNA is filed under the name uncultured bacterium. RNAcentral describes it as "partial 16S ribosomal RNA". It matches the Rfam family "Bacterial small subunit ribosomal RNA", at positions 342 to 795 of the family's 1533-position model. The record is from RNAcentral.
CGGGUCGCACCAGCAGUGGGGAAUAUUGCACAAUGGAGGAAACUCUGAUGCAGCAACGCCGCGUGGAGGAUGACACUUUUCGGAGCGUAAACUCCUUUUAUAUAGGAAGAAGAUGACGGUACUAUAUGAAUAAGCGCCGGCUAACUCCGUGCCAGCAGCCGCGGUAAUACGGAGGGCGCAAGCGUUACUCGGAAUCACUGGGCGUAAAGAGCGUGUAGGCGGAUUAAAAAGUCAGAAGUGAAAUCCUAUAGCUUAACUAUAGAACUGCUUCUGAAACUCUUAAUCUAGAAUAUGGGAGAGGUAGAUGGAAUUUCUGGUGUAGGGGUAAAAUCCGUAGAGAUCAGAAGGAAUACCGAUUGCGAAGGCGAUCUACUAGAACAUUAUUGACGCUGAGACGCGAAAGCGUGGGGAGCAAACAGGAUUAGAUACCCCAGUAGUC